RNAcentral lists this ribosomal RNA (253 nucleotides) under uncultured bacterium. RNAcentral's name for it is "partial 16S ribosomal RNA". It matches the Rfam family "Bacterial small subunit ribosomal RNA", at positions 524 to 776 of the family's 1533-position model. The record is from RNAcentral.
UACGAAGGGGGCUAGCGUUGUUCGGAAUUACUGGGCGUAAAGCGCACGUAGGCGGACUAUUAAGUCAGGGGUGAAAGCCCGGGGCCCAACCCCGGAACUGCACCCGAUACUGCCUGGCUGGAGUCCCGGAGAGGAUGGCGGAAUUUCCGGUGUAGAGGUGAAAUUCGUAGAUAUCGGAAGGAACACCAGUGGCGAAGGCGGCCAUCUGGACGGUGACUGACGCUGAGACGCGAAAGCGUGGGGAGCAAACAGG